This is a long non-coding RNA of Gorilla gorilla gorilla (western lowland gorilla), 1897 nucleotides long. RefSeq lists it as uncharacterized. The record is from RefSeq and is a predicted model, not a curated record. The transcript has 4 exons. Lineage: Eukaryota; Metazoa; Chordata; Mammalia; Primates; Hominidae.
UGUAAGCAAUGAGAGGACAUUUAGGCAGCAGAACCUGAACUCCAGCAUGUGUUAAAAUGGGGGAUGGGUCACGGGCACAAAUGAGGCUCAUGACAUACCCCAACAUGUAUAUAAAACAUAGUACUGAGUGAUGGACAUCUGGAGAUCCAGGUGGGCAUGCAGGCAGGCAGCCAGGAGGCACCAACUUCUCAACAGAUGGAAGGACCCACCCAACUCAGAUUCCAGAAGACUUGCAUGGGGGUGUGUGUGCCAACAGGUGGGUGCAGAUGUUGACUACAGCAAAGCAAAUCCCUAUUGCUGAUAUGAUUUUGACAUGAUACUACACAAGUUACCAUUAAUGGAACUGGCUACAGGGGAAUAAGAUAUGGAUCUAGUUAGGAAAAUGAAGCAAAAGGUAGGGCCUUCAUCUCACAAACAGGAAGCCAUUCAAUCAUUAAAUCUAGGGCAGAUACUCAGAGAUAGACUGUGGCCAUGACAAUGUGAUGCUGAGUCACCUGGCCAUGCAUGGAUCUUCUUCAAUACCUGAUAAGAACAGGACUGGUCCCAGAAGUGGGGUCAGGCACACACGGAAUAAAGGGAGAGUAAAGAGACUUGAGAGAGGAAAGAUGAGAAGGCAAGGAGCUUAGCUCCCAGCGCACUGUCACUAAUCACUGGAUCCCACAGAGUAGCGACAGAAAUACAGGCAUACCUUGGAGACACAGCAAGUUCAGUUCCAGGCCACCGCAAUAAAGUGAGGACCGCAAUAAAGUGAAGACCGCAAUAAAGCAAGUCAUACACAUUUUUGGUUUCCCAGUGCAUAUAAAGAGAUUAAAUAAGAUCCCUCUGCCCCACUGAAACAGGAGUUACCAACUUUUUGAAGAGGCUUGUGAGAUCCAACCCCUCUCCAGCUGAGGACCUGAGACCUAGUGAGGACAAUGACUUCUCAUAUCUACACUGCUAGUAGGAGACAAGCACUGGUUUCAGAAAAAAGAGGCGCUUAAGCUUAAGAGCUGCUGAUUCUGAGAAGUGUUCUGUUUAAGUCCAGCCCAUCUUCUCUCCACCGUUCCACACACACACAGCCACAUCAUCCCUGCUUCACCCAGCAUACCAGGAGGAGACAGGAAGGACUUCGGAAAACUUUUAUACUGAAUGCAGAACUUGGUACUCCAGAUCAAACUGCAGAAGUAAAUGAUAAUCCUUCCCCUUCAAGGCCCUCACAAUUGAGUAAGAGUUCAAAGAAAAAUUUACCACACAGUCCCCAGAGCACCAUCACUUCCAAGACUGUGACCUGCUUACAGAUCCACUCCUCUGCCCCCACAGUCCACAUGUCCACCCUGGGGGCCAUGGCUUAUUGAUUCUUCCAUGUAUCAGCCCAGGAAUCCCCUGCUGCCUUCUGAAUAAAGGGUGCAAAUACACGAAGCCUGCUCGCGAAUCAACAUAAAACCUGGCUUCCGAUACCGCUUCCCUGCCCGUCUGCUUCCACACUUUUCACUCACGGACUUUCCUGCUCCCCCAGGCACCUUGUCUCCUUUUCCAUCUGUGCUGACCCUUUGGCUUAGUGACUCAGCUUUUGGACUGGCCACUUCGCUGGGCCCUUGGUCCCUGCAAAACUGAGUUUCCUGUAUCUGUGCUCUGUCAACUCUGAGUCAGCCAAACAGCUGAGGUCAUUCUCUACUUGUCACCACCGAUGGGGACGGAGAGCCAACACCACCAGUCAGUCACCCAAGCUGGAAAUUUAAGCAUCAUCAUUUCUUCUUUUCCUUCCCAGCCCUCCCAUCGCCGCUUGCAGGCCAGUGAGUUCCACCCCAGGAAUGUUCCACCCCAGUGUAUAUAUUUUCUUCUGAAGUCCCAUCCCCAUACUGCUUGAGAUCGGGGCUCAUAAUUCCCCCAAUAAACCACUGUCCAGCCUCCUGCCUCA